RNAcentral lists this ribosomal RNA (460 nucleotides) under uncultured bacterium. RNAcentral describes it as "partial 16S ribosomal RNA". It matches the Rfam family "Bacterial small subunit ribosomal RNA", at positions 338 to 795 of the family's 1533-position model. The record is from RNAcentral.
CCUACGGGAGGCAGCAGUGAGGAAUAUUGGUCAAUGGACGAGAGUCUGAACCAGCCAAGUAGCGUGAAGGAUGACUGCCCUAUGGGUUGUAAACUUCUUUUAUAUGGGAAUAAAACGUUCCACGUGUGGGAUUUUGUUUGUACCAUAUGAAUAAGGAUCGGCUAACUCCGUGCCAGCAGCCGCGGUAAUACGGAGGAUCCGAGCGUUAUCCGGAUUUAUUGGGUUUAAAGGGAGCGUAGGUGGAUUGUUAAGUCAGUUGUGAAAGUUUGCGGCUCAACCGUAAAAUUGCAGUUGAAACUGGCAGUCUUGAGUACAGUAGAGGUGGGCGGAAUUCGUGGUGUAGCGGUGAAAUGCUUAGAUAUCACGAAGAACUCCGAUUGCGAAGGCAGUUCACUGGACUGCAACUGACACUGAGGCUCGAAAGUGUGGGUAUCAAACAGGAUUAGAUACCCCUGUAGUC